CCUAGGUGCCGUGGCUGUAUGUCAGAAACACAGACCUAGGUGCCGUGGCUGUAUGUCAGAAACACAGACCUAGGUGCCGUGGCUGUAUGUCAGAAAUACAGCCUGGUGUGCCGUAUGUCAGAAACACAGACCUAGGUGCCGUGGCUGUACGUCAGAAAUGCAGACCUGAGUGCCGUUGGUCUCUGUGCCCGUAGUAGAAGGGAGGCCUCCUUCGCUAGCGAGUGAAAACUGUGCCUAAUACUCAGCAAGGAGAUCCAUCGUUUUUGGUGCUGUUGGUUAUUAUUACUGUAUAACAAUACAAAAGAAAGGUGAGGUGCUGGCUAACUACUACUCUCCUCUCCCACAGGGAUGAGGUUCAAGGUUUUCAUGUCCCACAGGGUUAGGGUUCUAGGCUCUCCUCUCCCACAGGGUUAGGGUUCUAGGCUCUCCUCUCCCACAGGGUUAGGUUAGGGUUCUAGGCUCUCCUUUUCUAGAUGUGCAAUCAUGUUAACAUUCCAUUCUUCCAGUCCUAUUGUUUCAGCUGUACCAGUAAACAUGACUUAUUUUAUUAUUAUUUUAUAUUUUUAUUGUGUAUGCGUUCUGAUGUGCGUGUAGAACCACUAGUCAAAGGGUGUAAAAUGUGAAAUAUGGAAAUCCAUGUUGUUUUUUUUGCUUUUGCAUUUUCCCUUUUUCAGAUGUAUUAUGUUUGAUUUUAGGAGACAGUCCAACACAAAAACAAACUUUUGUACAUAAUCCUGUAAAUGUCUUUAAAUACUUGAGCCUUUUCUGGGGUGAAGGAAGGAAUGAUGCCUCUAAAGGUUUUAGCGGAAGCAAGGGAGGAAGUGCUUGAUGAAGAAAAAGCCUUACGUUUCAGUUUCUUCAUGUGUGUGAGUUUGAUGCUUACAGGGUUGCUCUGGUUACGUGUAUACAUCUAAGUGCUGCUUACAUCAGUGAGAAAGAUAUGGAGUAGCAAUGGCCCCCUAUUUUAUUUUUAUUUUUUAGCUUUACUUUUUUAAAGAAAAGGGAAAAUAUGUUAAUAAAAAAAAUUGUUUUAAAUUUUCAUUACUGAAAAUUCAACAAUGUAGUAGCUCAUGUUGCACUGAGCUUGCCAGUGGUGGCUGACAAGGUGAUCCUAUUAUCAAGUUUGUUGGUUGUUGUCCUUUACAGAAGACUGAAUUGUUUUAGGAGUAUUUAAUGAAAACCAAGUUGGGUGUUUUCCACAGAAAGUGGUUGUCAAGUUUUUAUGGCCUUACAAUGUAUUUUAUUCAGAAUUUUUUUUUUUUUGCAUUUUCUUUUUCUACAGUAUAAACUAUUGCUCACGGUCGGUCUGGCAAGUUAAUUUAUUAGCGAUGCGUCUCCAACUUUCCUUCCACUUGGAAAGAUUUCAUGUUGGUUAUAUUGCCAGUUUUUUUUUUUUUACAUUUGCAGUUUGUACUAAAGGUUUAAUAAAAACGUACAGACAAUUCACCGUC
Oncorhynchus tshawytscha (Chinook salmon) is the source of this 1451-nucleotide long non-coding RNA. The record is from Ensembl. Lineage: Eukaryota; Metazoa; Chordata; Actinopteri; Salmoniformes; Salmonidae.